GGGGCAGUAACUCAAUGGUAGAGCUCCCGAUUCAUAUGCGGGAAGACCUGGGUUCGAUUCCCGGCUGCUUUC
RNAcentral lists this transfer RNA (72 nucleotides) under Toxocara canis (dog roundworm). It matches the Rfam family "tRNA". From Rfam's summary of the family: Transfer RNA (tRNA) molecules are approximately 80 nucleotides in length. Their secondary structure includes four short double-helical elements and three loops (D, anti-codon, and T loops). Further hydrogen bonds mediate the characteristic L-shaped molecular structure. tRNAs have two regions of fundamental functional importance: the anti-codon, which is responsible for specific mRNA codon recognition, and the 3' end, to which the tRNAs corresponding amino acid is attached (by aminoacyl-tRNA synthetases). tRNAs cope with the degeneracy of the genetic code in two manners: having more than one tRNA (with a specific anti-codon) for a particular amino acid; and 'wobble' base-pairing, i.e. permitting non-standard base-pairing at the 3rd anti-codon position. Lineage: Eukaryota; Metazoa; Nematoda; Chromadorea; Rhabditida; Toxocaridae. The record is from Rfam by way of RNAcentral.